Molecule: unclassified non-coding RNA, 1447 nt
Filed under: Helicoverpa zea (corn earworm)
Lineage: Eukaryota; Metazoa; Arthropoda; Insecta; Lepidoptera; Noctuidae
Description: alaserpin-like, transcript variant X6
Source: RNAcentral
UCGUUGUGGACCGGUUAGUGUUCACCCAGCGUCGGACUGAGCGACCGCAGACAUGAAGCUGUUCAUAUGCCUUCUGGCCCUUGUGGCAUCAACAAUGUCAUCAGAUUCCGAUGAACUUCUCAAGCAGAGUAACGAUCAGUUCACCGCCAAAAUGUUCCAAAAGGUGGUAAAACUGAAUCCGGGUAAAAGUAUGGUGAUGUCAGCAUUCUCAGUGCUGUCACCUUUGGCUCAACUGGCCUUGGCUUCAGAAGGAGAUCCUCAUGAUGAGAUCCUGAGAGCUAUCGGUCUGCCUAACGACACCGUGACAAAACAAGUUUUUCUUGAUUCGAAUAAAGAACUACGAUCGUUAAGUAGUGUUGAGCUUAAGCUGGCAAACAGAGUGUAUGUUCGCGAAGGAGGAGAAUUGAACCCUGAGUACGCUGCUGUUUCAAGGGAUGUCUUCAAUUCAGAUGUUAAAAAUGUUGACUUUGCAAAAAAUACUGAAGCUGCAAAAGAAAUUAAUACAUGGGUAGAGGAAGCCACAAACAACCGCAUCAAAGACUUAGUAUCACCGAACUCGUUAAACGCAAACACUGCUGUUGUUCUUGUUAACGCUAUUUACUUCAAGGGCAAGUGGGUAAGCCAGUUUAGCAAGGAAGACACCAAAGAUCGUGAUUUCUCCGUCAGCAAGGACAAGACUAUAUCAUUGCCUACAAUGAAACAAAGUGCUUACUUUAACUAUGGCGAAAGUCAAGAACUUGACGCUAAGCUUUUGGAAAUGCCAUAUGAAGGUGAUAAAUCAUCACUUCUAAUUGUCCUUCCUAAUGAGAUUGAUGGACUCGACUCUUUGCUGAACAAAUUGAAGGACCCAGCAGUUUUGAGAAAGGCCGUUGACAGUAUGUACAACGCAAAGGUUGACGUUUCCAUGCCUAAAUUCAAGAUUGAAACUAAAAUUGAUCUUGCAGAUGUUCUCAAAAAGAUGAAUAUUGAAAAAUUGUUCACUCCAGGACAAGCUCGUCUAGACAAAUUGUUAAAAGAGUCACAAAAUUUGUUCGUUAGUGGAGCUACACAGAAGGCCUAUAUCGAUGUCAAUGAGGAGGGGGCUGAAGCAGCCGCUGCUAAUGAAUUUGGGAUGCUUGGAGCUUUCUUAGAUCCUAAUCCACCAAAAACUUUCUCAGCCGACCGACCAUUUUAUUAUGCACUUAAAGUGGCCGACAAAGUCGCCUUCAAUGGAGUAUUUUUUGAAUAGAAUUCGGUAUCGCAUAUUUGAGUGCUAUGAUACCAGAACAACUCACAUUCAAUGCUGAUCAUCCGUUCGUGUUCUUCUUAAUGGAACGGAAUAACAUUCUGUUUAGCGGAGUCAUCCAAUCAUAGAUUCGUUGAGAAAUACGAAUAAUCGCGCAGACUGGGUUGAAAACAAGCAACAGUCAAUACUUGAAAUCAGUAAAUUAUAUUAUGUAUUAAUUGA